Long non-coding RNA from Bubalus bubalis (water buffalo), 2334 nucleotides. RefSeq lists it as uncharacterized. Lineage: Eukaryota; Metazoa; Chordata; Mammalia; Artiodactyla; Bovidae. The transcript is spliced from 3 exons. The record is from RefSeq and is a predicted model, not a curated record.
CGCCGAUGAUGAUUCCUAUGCGCCGGGUGUCUGGGGAGAGAAGUAGAGACUAGUCAGGCUUUCUGCAGCCUGGCAGGUGCUUGGCUAACCCGGAGUGGCAAGCACAGGACUUCUGUAUGAAAAAGGACGGGGGCCCCAGGGGAUUUCACGGCCCUUGGACACACAGGGAGGAAUAUAUGGGGAGAAGCAAGUUAACUCCUCAUAUUUGCAUGUUUCUCCCAGGGCUUCCUGGCUGACCUUGGCAGAGCUAUAUGCAUUGAUGAGACCCAUAAGGCUGAUCCUGCUGAGACUCCAAAAUACAGCCCAGGUUCCUCCCGUCCAACCCUCCCAGCCAAGGAGCCAUUGCCUGCACCCACCUGAGACCUUCACCUCCACCACACACACGCUGUAGCCCACGUGGUUGGCCACUGUGCACUGAUACAGCCCAUCAUCCUUGUAGGUGAUGUCCUUCAACACUAGGUCACCGUUGUUCAGGCCUGAAACUGAAGGAGCAUCAGAGGACAAUGGUGAGGCCAAGGCGCUUGGUGUUUGAGAGCUUGACCCCAGCCUAGACCACUGCAGGAUGGCCCAUGGAAGGAGGGUGUAUGUACACACACAAGUCCACCCCACUGUGUCCAGUGAGGACCGGGUUAGACCAGAGGAAUUCUAAGGCUCCUUCCAGCUCUGAUCGUCUUUGAUUCAGCUUCUGGAACAGGCUCCGAGGAGGACUCUCCCACAGCUGGUGCCGCUGAUGACCUAGGGGAGCCCCAGCGGGACCCAGCGUCCCCAUCUUCCCCUCUCCCAAGGCCCCCUCACCUUGACUGAUGGAGCUGUGGAAGGACUCGUGGUAGGAGACCUCAGAGUGGAAGCUGUGCUGAGAAUGAUAAGACCCGGCCCGGUAGGGGUGAGUAUGCCCGCUGAUCUUGGCCCACUUGUAGGUGAGAGGUGGGCUGCCCCCAUUGGCGAAGCACUUCAGCACCACAUCAUUGCCGUGUGUAAAGUGGCCCUCAGACCAGCACAAGGGCACCGCAGGCCGCGCUACAGGGAAGAGGGUAGUUGUGAGCCAGGGCCCAGCCAAGAGGCAGAGCCAGGCUCAGGGUGGCCAGGCCACCCUUGAUUCUGAAGUCUGGGGAAGGGGAUCCCAGAGGAGCCUGCUCACACCUUGGACGGUGAUAAUGACCCUCCGGGUGGCCACAGUGGUCUUCUUCACCCGGCACUCAUAGGUGGCUGUGUCAGAGACUUGCAGGUUCGAGAGGGUAAUGGAGGCAUCGUACUGGCUGGGGUCUGAGGCUGCAAAGCGCACCCUCUGCUGCAGAUGGGGGAGGUUGCCAUGGUUGAUCCUCUUGUCCUGGUAACUAAGGAACUGUGAAGAGAAGAAAACAGAGAUGGUGAGACAGGCAGAGCCAAGGAAGGCCUUGUGGAUUGGCUGUCUGGGGCAAUUCACUGAACUUCCCUGAGACUCAGCUUUCUUGGAUGAAAAACAGGAAUGAUAAUGCCUGAUCCACUGACUUUUAACAGAAUGUGUGAGAUCAUAUGAAAUCAGGCACUCUCUGCCUAAUAGCUACCUCCCAGGGGCAUGUGAGGAUUAAAUGGGAUGAGAUGAAUAAAGCCACAGGCGCACAGAGAAGCUGGAUGGUACUCAAUCAAAGGCUAUCUGAGCUGGAAGUGUAAGGUCGGGCCAGGACAGUGCCUGUCUUCCUUUUGGAAUGGGGUGGGAGGAGGUGGCCUGACUGACUGGCUUGAUUGGAAAUUACACAGCGCCUCCCCAUUGCCCCAUUCUCUCGAGAAGCCUUGGGGAAAGUUCAAGGGCUGGGUUUUCUUAUUUGCCCUGCAAUGGGCUAGCUGCCCAACAAGUAAAUACUAUGAAGUGUGGAGUAAGGAGAAUCACGUACCCAGAGAGAAUCACUUACCACAUUCUCCCGAUGUGAGGGUUCUGAGUUGACCUGCUUCCAUUCAAUGUCCAGCCCGUUAGGACCGUAGUCCUCAGGGUCCAGGAUGUAGGGGCAGCCCAGCCUCGCAUUGUCACCUUCCGCCAGGUACAGGAUCUCCUGGCCAUCCCCGUUGAUCCGUACAGCAGACAGCAGCGCUAGGAUACAGGCAGGGCAGAUGGGAUAAGGGGAGCGGGACCAGGGCUUGGGAUCAGCUUCAGCUCCCUUCUCUCCACCAUUCCUUGUCAGUGGCAGCCCGGACCUCAGUGCGGGUUUCUCGGGGAGUAGGGCCUGCUCUGAGUGUGCAUGAUUUGAUCCAUGCAUAUGUGUGCUGACUUGUGUUAGCAUGUCUGUAUUCUAUAACUGUGUAGAAUUGCUGCUAUACUGUUUGUAUAUUGUAUAUAUAUAGUUGUUAAGAAUGCUUGUA